RNAcentral lists this unclassified non-coding RNA (327 nucleotides) under soil metagenome. RNAcentral's name for it is "partial contains 5.8S ribosomal RNA, internal transcribed spacer 2, and large subunit ribosomal RNA". The stretch from base 1 to 120 matches the Rfam family "5.8S ribosomal RNA", at positions 35 to 154 of the family's 154-position model. The record is from RNAcentral.
GAUGAAGAACGUAGCGAAAUGCGAUAAGUAGUGUGAAUUGCAGAAUUCAGUGAAUCAUCGAAUCUUUGAACGCACAUUGCGCCCCUUGGUAUCCCGAGGGGCAUGCCUGUUCGAGCGUCAUUUCACCACUCAAGCCUGGCUUGGUGUUGGGCGACGUCCUCUUUGGGGACGCGCCUCGAAACGCUCGGCGGCGUGGCACCGGCUUUAAGCGUAGCAGAAUCUUUCGCUUUGGAAGUCGGGGCCCCGUCUGCCGGAAGACCUGCUCGCAAGGUUGACCUCGGAUCAGGCAGGGAUACCCGCUGAACUUAAGCAUAUCAAUACGGAGGA